This 418-nucleotide long non-coding RNA is filed under the name Coffea arabica (coffee). Its description in RNAcentral is "long non-coding RNA (CARA_LNC006728)". Lineage: Eukaryota; Viridiplantae; Streptophyta; Magnoliopsida; Gentianales; Rubiaceae. The record is from RNAcentral.
UCAAUGCGCAGCAACCUUUUCGGUAGGAAGAUUCUUGCUUGGUUUGAGAAGAAGAAGCACCAGCAUGUAUAGACACGUACCCGUAAGGAGGUGUCACAAACUCUAAAGGCAGCCGGAAAUUGUAGCUUUAUUCUUACUUUGUGUUGGUUCCGUUCAGAUCUCCUACAGAAACCAGCAGUUUUUAACUUGUGUUUAUACACCUUGUAAUAGUAGCUUCGUGGUUGUAGUGUUAGCCUUUUCCUGACUUUGUUGAUGGAUGAGCUAAGCUUUAAAGUUGCUGACCUGAAAGAAAGAGGAGUGUGAUGUGAUGGUGGGAAAAAUUGUGAAGCUGCAACAGAAGCAUUCGUAGCAUCAUCAAUCCAGUGGAGCUUUGUUGUUGGGAUAUAGCGGAGAGAAGAUGAUGAUCAAUCUCUUCCAU